GGGCAGUAGUCAGGGCAGCUGCUUUGCGCCAGGCCUUGCGCUCUGUGCGGCAGGGAGAAGCUGGGCCCAGGAGCAGGAAACAGGCUGUUUGCCCAAACUCGGAAGCAUUUUGCCGCAGCAAGGAGUGGAGAUUGCUGCUGAGCAGUUGAUGAACACAUCAGGGCAAAGAAUGAGAAGAUUAAUUUCAUUGAGUUAUAUUGGUGCAAUGAAAUCAAAAAAUCUCAAGAUGAGGCGGAUCUAUUUCUGCCCCAUUGCCCUACAGCUCCACCAUUGCAAACUUGGUAUCUAACGUCAGAAUAACCACCAGCGUGGGGUGAGUCUGCCAUAUCCCUCAACAGUUUGUCCUGAAUCUGGUAUUCUCAGCUGUGAGCCACUGAGGCCAGGUGACAAAUACAAAAAC
This is a long non-coding RNA of Mauremys reevesii (Reeves's turtle), 400 nucleotides long. RefSeq lists it as uncharacterized. The record is from RefSeq and is a predicted model, not a curated record. The transcript has 3 exons. Lineage: Eukaryota; Metazoa; Chordata; Testudines; Geoemydidae.